Molecule: long non-coding RNA, 206 nt
Organism: Bufo bufo (common toad)
Lineage: Eukaryota; Metazoa; Chordata; Amphibia; Anura; Bufonidae
Exons: 3
Source: RefSeq, a predicted model, not a curated record
CACUUACAGACAGUUGAGCAUUCUCAUUUUAUAUACUAACCUUUUAUGUGGUUCAGUGUCAAAUGCUUUGGAGAAAUCCAGAUAUGACAUCCAUUAAUUCGCCACUGUCAAGUCUAGAACUUACCUCUUCAUAGAAACUGAUUAAAUUAGUUUGACAUGACCGAUCCCUCAUGAAGCCAUGCUGAUAUGGCAUUAUUUGCUUAUUU